UACGUAGGGUGCAAGCGUUAAUCGGAAUUACUGGGCGUAAAGCGUGCGCAGGCGGUUUUGUAAGACUGUCGUGAAAUCCCCGGGCUUAACCUGGGAAUGGCGAUGGUGACUGCAAGGCUAGAGUUUGGCAGAGGGGGGUAGAAUUCCAUGUGUAGCAGUGAAAUGCGUAGAGAUGUGGAGGAACACCGAUGGCGAAGGCAGCCCCCUGGGUCAAGACUGACGCUCAUGCACGAAAGCGUGGGGAGCAAACAGG
This 253-nucleotide ribosomal RNA is filed under the name uncultured bacterium. RNAcentral's name for it is "partial 16S ribosomal RNA". It matches the Rfam family "Bacterial small subunit ribosomal RNA", at positions 524 to 776 of the family's 1533-position model. The record is from RNAcentral.